CAAAGUUGUCGGCCUGAACUAAAAGUCGAGGGGGCACCCUGUUGUCUUCAGUUCCCUAGUGUUGGAGAGGUUCUAGUCACAUCCAAAUUGACGUGAAUUCUGCCACAAAAAUAAGCUCGACACCACACGACAUCGCUUUAUUAGCGCGAGAACACUGACCUUUGCUUUCUAGAAUCUGCAGAGUCAGCACUGCUUGUCGACCAAUGUCGACCCUUCGGACAGGUGCUGUGCACAUGCGGCGUGCAGGCAGGCGUGGGGCCAGACAGUGGCGAGGACCCGGGAGAGCCAGGAGCAGCCCUCUGGUGGGCCAUGGGCCUCUGACUUGUCCCCCUCGCUCGCCCCUGCACUUGCCCGUCUGCUGGAGGCCCGGGUUUGCCGCUCCGGGCUUGGGUAAAUUCUCAGCUUUUUCGUCUCAGCCGGGUCCACACCUUCUCUGGGGGCAGGGAUUCCAAGGAGACCUUUCUCCUCCAGAGGCCACCGGGGAGCAGAAGCUCAGCGAAGCUGAGGGACGCCCGCAGGAGGAACAUGCCUUGGACACUGGAAUCAGGGAGCCCCCCAGGAGCUGUGUGGCCUUAAGCAUAUUUCUUCCUGCUCUGAGCCUCAUCCAUAAACUGAGAACAGAAGUGGCGCCUCCAGGGGCGUAGGCCCUCCCCUCCUCUCUAAUAUGGACAAGCGAUUUCCCCAAUCCUGGGUAAAGGGCUGGAAAAACCUCAAGCCCUAUUCCAAGCAGACUGCCCUCCUAAGUGUCUCCACCCCCAAGUCUGGAGCUUCCGCAGAUCUCUUAUAAAGAGAUUAUGAAGACUGAAUGAGCAUGGAAAAUGCUUACCACUGCGUCUGGACCUAAGAAGCACCCAACCCUGGCCACGAUUAUUAUGACCUGAUGUGCAGUCUUCAAUAGCUCUGUGCCUCAGUUUCCCCAUCUGCAAAAUGGGGGUAACAAUAACACAAGAUCUCCUAGGGUGGGGCUUAAGUGAGCUGUUCUAGGAAAAACACGCAACACAGUGCCUGGUCCGUAGGAAAGUCUCCGUAAAUGUUGGCCAGUAAGUAGUUAAAUGUGGAAAUAAUUAAACAAUUGAGAGGCAGUGGUGCCUGGUGAAAAUAACGUGGUCUGUAAUUUCACAUAGACUGUGUCCAGGUUUUACCGCUUAUUAGCUUUUAGUAGAAAAGUUCUGCACCCUCUGGGAGCCAUCGUUUCUUCUCUUCCAAAUGGGGACCAUGAU
Molecule: long non-coding RNA, 1220 nt
Filed under: Equus caballus (horse)
Lineage: Eukaryota; Metazoa; Chordata; Mammalia; Perissodactyla; Equidae
Description: lncRNA (ENSECAG00000050179.1)
Source: RNAcentral